RNAcentral lists this ribosomal RNA (253 nucleotides) under uncultured bacterium. RNAcentral describes it as "partial 16S ribosomal RNA". It matches the Rfam family "Bacterial small subunit ribosomal RNA", at positions 524 to 776 of the family's 1533-position model. The record is from RNAcentral.
UACGUAGGCAGCAAGCGUUGUUCGGAGUUACUGGGCGUAAAGGGUGUGUAGGCGGUUGCUUAAGUUUGGUGUGAAAUCUCCCGGCUCAACUGGGAGGGUGCGCCGAAUACUGAGUGACUCGAGUGCGGGAGAGGAAAGUGGAAUUCCUGGUGUAGCGGUGAAAUGCGUAGAUAUCAGGAGGAACACCGGUGGUGUAGACGGCUUUCUGGACCAUAACUGACACUGAGGCACGAAAGCGUGGGUAGCAAACAGG